This 891-nucleotide ribosomal RNA is filed under the name Bacillus sp. (in: firmicutes). RNAcentral describes it as "bacterial SSU rRNA". It matches the Rfam family "Bacterial small subunit ribosomal RNA", at positions 14 to 873 of the family's 1533-position model. The record is from RNAcentral. Lineage: Bacteria; Bacillati; Bacillota; Bacilli; Caryophanales; Bacillaceae.
UCAUUGGCUCCAGGACGAACGCUGGCGGCGUGCCUAAUACAUGCAAGUCGAGCGGACAGAAGGGAGCUUGCUCCCCGGAUGUUAGCGGCGGACGGGUGAGUAACACGUGGGUAACCUGCCUGUAAGACUGGGAUAACUCCGGGAAACCCGGAGCUAAUACCGGAUAGUUCCUUGAACCGCAUGGUUCAAGGAUGAAAGACGGUUUCGGCUGUCACUUACAGAUGGACCCGCGGCGCAUUAGCUAGUUGGUGAGGUAACGGCUCACCAAGGCGACGAUGCGUAGCCGACCUGAGAGGGUGAUCGGCCACACUGGGACUGAGACACGGCCCAGACUCCUACGGGAGGCAGCAGUAGGGAAUCUUCCGCAAUGGACGAAAGUCUGACGGAGCAACGCCGCGUGAGUGAUGAAGGUUUUCGGAUCGUAAAGCUCUGUUGUUAGGGAAGAACAAGUGCAAGAGUAACUGCUUGCACCUUGACGGUACCUAACCAGAAAGCCACGGCUAACUACGUGCCAGCAGCCGCGGUAAUACGUAGGUGGCAAGCGUUGUCCGGAAUUAUUGGGCGUAAAGGGCUCGCAGGCGGUUUCUUAAGUCUGAUGUGAAAGCCCCCGGCUCAACCGGGGAGGGUCAUUGGAAACUGGGAAACUUGAGUGCAGAAGAGGAGAGUGGAAUUCCACGUGUAGCGGUGAAAUGCGUAGAGAUGUGGAGGAACACCAGUGGCGAAGGCGACUCUCUGGUCUGUAACUGACGCUGAGGAGCGAAAGCGUGGGGAGCGAACAGGAUUAGAUACCCUGGUAGUCCACGCCGUAAAACGAUGAGUGCUAAGUGUUAGGGGGUUUCCGCCCCUUAGUGCUGCAGCUAACGCAUUAAGCACUCCGCCGGAGAUCGUCAU